This 239-nucleotide small RNA is filed under the name Meriones unguiculatus (Mongolian gerbil). RNAcentral's name for it is "7SK RNA (ENSMUGG00000020573.1)". The stretch from base 1 to 183 matches the Rfam family "7SK RNA". Rfam says of the family: 7SK was discovered as an abundant small nuclear RNA in the mid-70s but a possible function has only recently been suggested. Two independent studies have found that 7SK RNA binds the CDK9/cyclin T complex (known as elongation factor P-TEFb). P-TEFb activates transcription by phosphorylating the C-terminal domain of RNA polymerase II. The record is from RNAcentral. Lineage: Eukaryota; Metazoa; Chordata; Mammalia; Rodentia; Muridae.
GUAUUUUGCAAUCUGUCUGGGACAUCUGUCACUCCAUUGACUGCCAGGGUUGGCUCUGCUGAUGGGGCUGUAUAGGCUGGUGUCUGUUUCCUCCCUCACCGCUCCAUGUGUGUCCCUCCCGAAGCUGUGCACUCGGUGGAAGAGGAUGACCUUCUCCCAAAAGAGGAGGACGGGAAUUCAGAACCUCCAAACAAGCUCAAGGUUCCUUCUGCAGUAUUUGAAGACGUGCGUUGUGAGAA